Molecule: long non-coding RNA, 1283 nt
Filed under: Mytilus galloprovincialis (Mediterranean mussel)
Lineage: Eukaryota; Metazoa; Mollusca; Bivalvia; Mytilida; Mytilidae
Source: RNAcentral
GGACUGUGAAAUUGGAAUAAAUUCUCUAAUUUGGCAUUAAAAUUAGAAUGAUCUUAUCAAAGGGAACAUGUAUACUAAGUUUCAAGUUGAUUGGACUUCUACUUUAUCAAAAACUACCUUGACCAAAAACUUUAACCUGAAAUUUGCACUAUCAUUUUCUAUGUUUCAGUGAACCGUAAAAUUGGGGUCAAAACUCUAAUUUGGCAUUUAAAUUAGAAAGAUCAUAUCAUAGGGCACAUGUAUACUAAGUUUCAGUUGAUUGGACUUCAACUUCAUCAAAAACUACCUUGACCAAAAACUUUAACCUGAAGCCAAAAACUUUAACCUGACAUUUGCACUAUCAUUUUCUAUGUUCAGUGAACCGUAAAAUUGGGGUCAAAACUCUAAUUUGGCAUUUAAAUUAGAAAGAUCAUAUCAUAGGGCACAUGUAUACUAAGUUUCAAGUUGAUUGGACUUCAACUUCAUCAAAAACUACCUUGACCAAAAACUUUAACCUGAAGCCAAAAACUUUAACCUGAAAUUUGCACUAUCAUUUUCUAUCAGUGAACCGUAAAAUUGGGGUCAAAACUCUAAUUUGGCAUUAAAAUUAGAAAGAUCAUAUCAUAGGGAACAUGUGUACCAAGUUUGAAGUCGAUUGGACUUCAAUUUCAUCAAAAACUACCUCGACCAAAAACUUUAACCUGAAGCGGGACAGACGGACGAACGAACGGACGAACGAACGGACGAACGGACGCACAGACCAGAAAACAUAAUGCCCCUCUACUAUCGUAGGUGGGGCAUAAAAAUCAGCCCAAUAUCUGUAGGCAUUUAGAAAAAAAGUCUGUAUAACUGUGAUUUUCAACAAUUUAUCAAAGUCCAAAGCCCGUAAUUUCGACAAAAAUUAGCGGAGUGGAACGAUACGUAAACUUGAUCUGUUACACAUCAUGGUUAACUUACAUACCAAAAAUCAGCCCAAUAUCUGAAGGCGUUUAGAAAAAAACUCCGUAUAAUGGUUUGUUGCGGAAUGAGGGAAUGACGGAAUUUCAGAAUUACGGAAUUACGGAAUAACGGAAUUAUGGAAUUAUGGAAUAAAAAUUAAAAUGAUUUAAACCCGCGAGCCCCUUAAUUGGAAAAUAAAGAAAUUUGAACUUUGAACUUUAUUAGUCUCCUAAGGCUGUAAGAAGUCACAUCUUAAACUUACAACUUAAGCAGACAUUGUGGAUUUAUUAGAUUCAGACAAAGAAAGUUUCUCUGCCUUUUCUGCACCCUCUGUACCAGCAGGUGAGAAGAUGUUGAUAAAAAAA